RNAcentral lists this ribosomal RNA (1373 nucleotides) under uncultured beta proteobacterium. Its description in RNAcentral is "bacterial SSU rRNA". It matches the Rfam family "Bacterial small subunit ribosomal RNA", at positions 29 to 1400 of the family's 1533-position model. Lineage: Bacteria; Pseudomonadati; Pseudomonadota; Betaproteobacteria. The record is from RNAcentral.
UUGAACGCUGGCGGCAUGCCUUACACAUGCAAGUCGAACGGCAGCACGGGUGCUUGCACCUGGUGGCGAGUGGCGAACGGGUGAGUAAUACAUCGGAACAUGUCCUGUAGUGGGGGAUAGCCCGGCGAAAGCCGGAUUAAUACCGCAUACGAUCUACGGAUGAAAGCGGGGGACCUUCGGGCCUCGCGCUAUAGGGUUGGCCGAUGGCUGAUUAGCUAGUUGGUGGGGUAAAGGCCUACCAAGGCGACGAUCAGUAGCUGGUCUGAGAGGACGACCAGCCACACUGGGACUGAGACACGGCCCAGACUCCUACGGGAGGCAGCAGUGGGGAAUUUUGGACAAUGGGCGAAGGCCUGAUCCAGCAAUGCCGCGUGUGUGAAGAAGGCCUUCGGGUUGUAAAGCACUUUUGUCCGGAAAGAAAUCCUUGGCUCUAAUACAGUCGGGGGAUGACGGUACCGGAAGAAUAAGCACCGGCUAACUACGUGCCAGCAGCCGCGGUAAUACGUAGGGUGCGAGCGUUAAUCGGAAUUACUGGGCGUAAAGCGUGCGCAGGCGGUUUGCUAAGACCGAUGUGAAAUCCCCGGGCUCAACCUGGGAACUGCAUUGGUGACUGGCAGGCUAGAGUAUGGCAGAGGGGGGUAGAAUUCCACGUGUAGCAGUGAAAUGCGUAGAGAUGUGGAGGAAUACCGAUGGCGAAGGCAGCCCCCUGGGCCAAUACUGACGCUCAUGCACGAAAGCGUGGGGGAGCAAACAGGAUUAGAUACCCUGGUAGUCCACGCCCUAAACGAUGUCAACUAGUUGUUGGGGAUUCAUUUCCUUAGUAACGUAGCUAACGCGUGAAGUUGACCGCCUGGGGAGUACGGUCGCAAGAUUAAAACUCAAAGGAAUUGACGGGGACCCGCACAAGCGGUGGAUGAUGUGGAUUAAUUCGAUGCAACGCGAAAAACCUUACCUACCCUUGACAUGGUCGGAAUCCCGCUGAGAGGUGGGAGUGCUCGAAAGAGAACCGGCGCACAGGUGCUGCAUGGCUGUCGUCAGCUCGUGUCGUGAGAUGUUGGGUUAAGUCCCGCAACGAGCGCAACCCUUGUCCUUAGUUGCUACGCAAGAGCACUCUAAGGAGACUGCCGGUGACAAACCGGAGGAAGGUGGGGAUGACGUCAAGUCCUCAUGGCCCUUAUGGGUAGGGCUUCACACGUCAUACAAUGGUCGGAACAGAGGGUUGCCAACCCGCGAGGGGGAGCUAAUCCCAGAAAACCGAUCGUAGUCCGGAUUGCACUCUGCAACUCGAGUGCAUGAAGCUGGAAUCGCUAGUAAUCGCGGAUCAGCAUGCCGCGGUGAAUACGUUCCCGGGUCUUGUACACACCGCCCGUCAA